AACGCAUAUUGCACUCUCUGGCUCUCCAGAGAGUAUGCCUGUUUGAGUAUCAUUUUUAAUCUCUCAUCCCCAAUUGGGGAUAAGGAUUUGAGCAAUCCGCUGGCGCCAAGUUGUUUACGCGACUUGGUGAUUGAUGCGGUUGCUUGAAAUGUAUAGCUAGGCGGUAUUGAUCACUGCUUUAGAGACUAGGCGUAUUAGUUUCCCAUUUGGGAAUCCACUCGUGCGCCGGUGUAACGUCUCCUAAGCCUUUGUGUUGAUUGAUCGCUAUGCUCACUCAAAUGUUCUUUUGAGCAUUUACCGAGUUUGGAUUGCAGUUUGCAAAUUAGACUUGAUCUUGAUCUCAAAUCAGGCAAGACUACCCGCUGAAUUUAA
Molecule: ribosomal RNA, 372 nt
Filed under: uncultured fungus
Lineage: Eukaryota; Fungi
Description: eukaryotic LSU rRNA
Source: RNAcentral